UGACUNGAGUGCAGAAGGGGAGAGUGGAAUUCCAUGUGUAGCGGUGAAAUGCGUAGAUAUAUGGAGGAACGCCAGUGGCGAAAGCGGCUCUCUGGUCUGUCACUGACGCUGAGGCUCGAAAGCGUGGGUAGCGAACAGGAUUAGAUACCCUGGUAGUNCACGCCGUAAACGAUGAGUGCUAGGUGUUAGGCCCUUUCCGGGGCUUAGUGCCGGAGCUAACGCAAUAAGCACUCCGCCUGGGGAGUACGACCGCAAGGUUGAAACUCAAAGGAAUUGACGGGGGCCCGCACAAGCGGUGGAGCAUGUGGUUUAACUCGAAGCAACGCGAAGAACCUUACCAGGUCUUGACAUCCCGAUGCUAUUCUUAGAGAUAGGAAGUUACUUCGGUACAUCGGAGACAGGUGGUGCAUGGUUGUCGUCAGCUCGUGUCGUGAGAUGUUGGGUUAAGUCCCGCAACGAGCGCAACCCUUAUUGUUAGUUGCCAUCGUUAAGUUGGGCACUCUAGCGAGACUGCCGGUAAUAAACCGGAGGAAGGUGGGGAUGACGUCAAAUCAUCAUGCCCCUUAUGACCUGGGCUACACACGUGCUACAAUGGUCGGUACAACGAGUUGCGAGCCGGUGACGGCAAGCUAAUCUCUGAAAGCCGAUCUCAGUUCGGAUUGGAGGCUGCAACUCGCCUCCAUGAAGUCGGAAUCGCUAGUAAUCGCGGAUCAGCACGCCGCGGUGAAUACGUUCCCGGGCCUUGUACACACCGCCCGUCACACCACGAGAGUUUGUAACACCCGAAGUCGGUGAGGUAACCUUUUAGGGNCCA
RNAcentral lists this ribosomal RNA (814 nucleotides) under uncultured bacterium. RNAcentral's name for it is "bacterial SSU rRNA". It matches the Rfam family "Bacterial small subunit ribosomal RNA", at positions 638 to 1451 of the family's 1533-position model. The record is from RNAcentral.